UGCCAUCUCCCAAGCUGCUCCCAUCCGAUGCCACACACAUGCUUGCUCCGUCUGAGUGUGUCCUCUGCAGACUUCUUCUUGCACUAACUUGCUUUAGGUUGUCUGCUCACGGUGUCGGUCCCUGGCUGACCUUGCCUCCUUGCACGCAUUGCCAGACAAGCAGCAAACUCCUCAGAAGCAGUCAAGAUUUCCAUAUCACCGUUCCACCUCUCUGGAGCCCAAAGAGGGCUUCUCCUUAAGCGGACUUGCACAUCAGGAGCGACGGAGGAGUACGUUUCACUCCUAGUUUGGGGGAAUAUCUGGAGCUAGAGGACUGGACCUGAUCUGUAUCCUGAAAGCAAGCUUGAAAAUUCUUGUGCUAAAGACGAGGAAUUGCAUGGUUUGGCAAGCAGCAGGAGCCACAUGGCUUGGAAAGAACUGCCUCUGAUUCCCAACUGGCUUGUUUCUGAGACCUGCUGUGUCUUCAAAUUGGUUGAUGUGCUCUGAGUACAACCUUGGGAAUCUAUCCAGAACAAAGAUGAUCAGAUGCCAAGUCCUCCUUGGAAGUCUUGGAGCAGCAAGAGUCAUCUUAACUCUGCAUCAAUUAACAUCAAUUGAAAAGGGGGUUUCCUUGCUCUAUGGCACUCACAUCUGCCGGGUUGGACACCAAACCGACACCGUUACCAGGACGUCCCCGAUAAGACUGCAGUGUACCAAGACGGUGUUGAUGGCAACCACAUGCUUCUUGGGUCCACUCGUCACCACGGAUGGCAGGACUGACUUCUCCAGUGAUGCACUUCCGUGUCCGAAAGACGAAUCUAAGGCAGAGGUUGCGUUUAAUUAAGUUUUCCGCUCGUCUGUCUUGGCACAUGAUUUUGAGUUAUUUUUAAAAUUGCAUUUCUAAGAAAAAGGGAGACGAGGAGUGAGCCUUGUGAUCUAAGUAACUAGCAGGCCAGCGGACCAUCAGUGCUGUGUGGUACUUCGGCCCGUGCAGUCACGAGGAAUGAAUCCUCAAAUUCUUCCACGUUCCACAAAGGAAGGGAUAAACGUGAUCAGACCAGGGUUACAGACACGCUGCCCUUGCCUCUUUUAAAGCCGUGUGGAGCUUGGAUCUGCUUGGAGGCCGAGUGUUCUCUAUUGCACAAAUCAACCCUGAGUACAGGAGUUUUCAGGAAUUUACCAAGCCACUCUUUACAGAAGAAAGCUGUCACUGAAUUUUAACAGUCCUACAGAAUAAAAGAUAUGGUAGUCAACUAUGCUUGGGAAAUGUAAUUACAGAUUCAAUGUGUAAGGCCUGAAUGUGUUUCUCUAGGGCUUGUGCAUUGUGUAUUGCAGUAUUAUAGUGUGAGAAACCCAGGUGGUUUCUCAUACAGCGUGGCCCCAGCAUUUCUCAGAACACAGUUGUGGGAACCGUUUUUGGAAUUACAUUUUAAUUAAUUUCUGGUAUUCAUCUGAGUCAUCCCUGUUCAUGCAUCUAGAGGAAGUUAGGCAGACCAGCACAGGAACAGCUUAGGAACUUGGGCUUCUACUUCGUUUUUGGUUAUGUAUACUCCUCUGUAAUAAUGCACGUGACAGCCUCAUUUCCUCACCUAGAUGUACACACAUACCCCUUUCCCCAAUCAAUCUAUCCACCUCAAAACCAUCUCAGACCACUGUCUGAAUCGGGCUGUAGGUACCACCCUCCCCACACGUCUAUGCCCCUCAUACCCAGUAUAUCCAGGUAUGAAGAUCAGAAAGGCUGGUUCAGACUGACCUGGUUUUAGCUACAUGUGUAAUAAGGCAAACAUGUCUUUGUUAAUAGGACUCUCACAGAUGCAUUGUGGGAAAGGACAUGCAGAGGAGAAAAAUAAUUAUAUCCCCUCAUUUAUUAAGUGGGACAGAGAACCACCUUCUAGGUGCCCCUAAAUAACCAAACUUUGCCUGUUCUUGACCCCCAUAAAAGGAAGUCCCACCCAGUAGCUCAUCUUCGAGCGCCCUCAUCAGAUGGUGCAAGGUCAAUCUUGUCAGUGUGUCGUUUUCUAAUCCAUACUCUUGAUUCGCCCUGAGUAAAGUCAUGGGGCCACACUUGCAAAUCUGUAGUAGUCUGUGUUUUUAAUCUUCGCACAAGUGGCCAGGAACCUGAAGUCUCAGCGCCGGCCCUGACCACCAGCAGUGGCCUGAAAUCUCAGCAAGGGGCGGGGUUACCAGAGCACAGACUACUGCCCAGCGCUAGGUGAGUGGCGGUGACAGACACAGCAACAUAAGUGCCAAGCCAUCACAGUUCACUUUACUGGGUUACUACGGAAGCUGCGCUACGGAGAUUGUUAGGUCAUUCCGUGAGAUCAUUGUUUCACUGGUUAAUGUCGCCUCACGUGUAUAGAGCAUGUGUACUCUUCUCAUCCACAGUGCUCACCUCCAACAUAGAACUACCCAUUGUGAGAUACCACAAGCCCCAGGGAAAUGCAAGGCCGAUCACCUUCCUACAGUGAGAUCCGCUGUAGGAUUUGGAUGAUCUGAUGUGUGGAAAAAGAAUUUAUAUUGUUAUUGAUAAUUGAUAAUUGCAGGUUUUGAUGCAUUGUUUAGUACAGUUGAUGGCAUUGUUGUCCACUGCGAGUUUUAUGAAAUAGAGUGAGGAUUUAGUGAUCCAGAUCAUAUCUAUGGCUAAACUCUCGAUGUGCCCAGAGGGAAGCAUUGCUAAUGCCAGCUCCCAGUCACUGAGCAUGCCCAGUGGUGCUCAGAGACUGAGGAAUAUAUAUGAAAACAAGACACAUUCAAAGACUAUUCAAAGAGGUUUUCUGGAAAUCACUCCUAAGUAAACAUCAUUCCAAAACAUCAACUAAGUGCCAGGCGGUGGUUAAUAAAGUGUGUAUCACACAAACUGAAUAUUGGCUUUGUGAAGAGACAUGAUAGAGUGUGUUGUAUAGCAUGAGGGGGAAAAUAGGCAGGGAUAUACAUUAUAUAGCAUGAGGGGAAAAAAGCCAGCGAUAGAAAUGCAGGCAGUUGGAUUUGUCUGUCCAUCUCGUGUUACUCAGUCCUAGAACAGAUUAGAGUAAUCUGGGACAUCCAGAAAAUAUGUAAAUACUUUGGCCACACAUGAGACAAAUUGAAUGGCAGACUCAGGAGCUGGAUGUCAUACUUUCAUGUAUUUCACGCCCUCCAGAGGAUUCACAGGCGCAGUGGGGUUGAUAACAGCACCAAUAUUACACAAGAGGGCAAAACUUUAUUUAGUGACCAGAUUUUUCAGAUUAAGCCACAGACCCAAGUCUCAAGGAAACCUAUCAAAAGUAAACAGUUAACAGAAUGCACUUUGAUUUCUUCUCAUAUGUAUCAGUUAAGCUUGGAUUAAUACAGUU
Non-coding RNA from Myodes glareolus (Bank vole), 3311 nucleotides. Lineage: Eukaryota; Metazoa; Chordata; Mammalia; Rodentia; Cricetidae. The record is from RefSeq and is a predicted model, not a curated record.